AACUUUUGGCAACGGAUCUCUUGGUUCCGGCAUCGAUGAAGAACGCAGCGAAAUGCGAUAGCUAAUGUGAAUUGCAGAAUUCAGUGAAUCAUCGAGUCUUUGAACGCACAUUGCGCCCCCUGGUAUUCCGGGGGGCAUGCCUGUCCGAGCGUCAUUGCUGCCCUCAAGCACGGCUUGUGUGUUGGGCUCCGUCCCCCCGGGGACGGGCCCGAAAGGCAGCGGCGGCACCGAGUCCGGUCCUCGAGCGUAUGGGGCUUUGUCACCCGCUCUGUAGGCCCGGCCGGCGCCAGCCGACAACCCAUCAUCCUUUUCAGGUUGACCUCGGAUCAGGUAGGGAUACCAGCUGACCUUAAGCAAAUCAAUAAGAGGAGGCU
RNAcentral lists this unclassified non-coding RNA (374 nucleotides) under uncultured Penicillium. RNAcentral's name for it is "sequence contains ITS2". The stretch from base 1 to 154 matches the Rfam family "5.8S ribosomal RNA". The record is from RNAcentral. Lineage: Eukaryota; Fungi; Ascomycota; Eurotiomycetes; Eurotiales; Aspergillaceae.